GGACUACUGGGGUUUCUAAUCCUGUUUGCUCCCCACGCUUUCGCGUCUCAGCGUCAGUACCGUCCCAGCGAGCUGCCUUCGCCAUUGGUGUUCUUCCUGAUAUCUGCGCAUUUCACCGCUACACCAGGAGUUCCACUCGCCUCUUCCGGACUCUAGCUUGACAGUUUCCACUGGCAUUCCAGGGUUGAGCCCUGGACUUUCACAGCGGACUUACCAAGCCGCCUACACGCUCUUUACGCCCAAUGAUUCCGGACAACGCUAGCCCCCUACGUAUUACCGCGGCUGCUGGCAC
This 292-nucleotide ribosomal RNA is filed under the name uncultured bacterium. RNAcentral's name for it is "partial 16S ribosomal RNA". The record is from RNAcentral.